ACCAGCAGCCAUAUCACCCUGCAACUCACAACUGGCAGCCCACUGAGGCUCUGCAGGUGAGAGGCUGGUUGGUACCUGGAUGGGAGACCUCCUGGGAAAAACUAAGGUUGCUGCUGGAA
This 119-nucleotide ribosomal RNA is filed under the name Lepisosteus oculatus (spotted gar). The record is from RNAcentral. Lineage: Eukaryota; Metazoa; Chordata; Actinopteri; Semionotiformes; Lepisosteidae.